CCUAAGAGAUACGUGUUAUGUGAAGUGCUCACACAGAUUGUCUGAUGAAGAACGAGCAGAGAUACCGGUAUAGGCUUGUAGCUCAGGUGGUUAGAGCGCACCCCUGAUAAGGGUGAGGUCGGUGGUUCAAGUCCACUCAGGCCUACCACUUUUCCUUUAUGCUGUGUUGUGAAGCAACUCGUUUACAUUAAGUAAACUUCGUUACUCCACGCCUUGCCUAAAGAAAAAGCUUCUUAUUAUAAGAAGAAAAAGGAGUGGUUAUACGGGUAUUAAAACAUUAUGGGGCUAUAGCACAGCUGGGAGAGCGCCUGCCUUGCACGCAGGAGGUCAGCGGUUCGAUCCCGCUCAGCUCCACCAUAAUCUCUUGAAUAUAAAACAAUGAUUCAGAGUAUAUUAGGAAUAGUAUACUGCGAAUUAUUAUGCUCUUUAACAAUCUGGAACAAGCUGAAAAAUUGAAAACAAAUCAAUAUAUCAACGAGGUAUAUUGAUGAGUCUCUCAAAAUCUCAAACCUUAAAGUUUGUCACGCAAAGUUUAUCUUUGAAAAAGACACUUUCGGGUUGUGA
This 564-nucleotide unclassified non-coding RNA is filed under the name Proteus mirabilis. RNAcentral's name for it is "partial 16S-23S ribosomal RNA intergenic spacer". The stretch from base 72 to 145 matches the Rfam family "tRNA". The record is from RNAcentral. Lineage: Bacteria; Pseudomonadati; Pseudomonadota; Gammaproteobacteria; Enterobacterales; Morganellaceae.